This 1030-nucleotide long non-coding RNA is filed under the name Homo sapiens (human). RNAcentral describes it as "HSALNT0299983". The record is from RNAcentral. Lineage: Eukaryota; Metazoa; Chordata; Mammalia; Primates; Hominidae.
GAAAAUGCCACCAUAUGAAGCGAUAAAAAGAAAAAAGAAAAAAAUCAGUUCGAAAGUGGCCUGAGGUGGAGGUAGAGAAAUGAGCCGCAGACAAGCCUGCCUGAUUGAAUAGAUAUCCUGUCCUUUCAAGGAACAGCAGAUUCAGAGAGCAACAUAAAAUGGACUAAGACGUGUAUGGAAACUUGAAAUACAAGAAGAGAAUAUGAAGAAGUAAGACUAGAAAAGAAAUGAGCCUUCAUUAUCAGAGAUAAGCAACAGCAAAGAGCUAAAGGUACCUGGAUGCGGUAUAAUCUUCGAAGUUUAAAGGCAAAUAGUCAUAAGUAUUGAGCAAAAAGAAGUCUGGAAAUACACAUAUAGUAACCUAAUUAAAGAGGCAUAAAUGCCUGAAAAAGUAUUAUGAUAUGUUAUGAAUGUCCAAUUAUUUGUAGAACUCAUCGCCUGUUGGGGUGACCACAAGGACUUUGUUGACAAUGGAUAUGACUUUGUUCUGAGAGUGCCUUUGUUUAGAAUGUAAGUUAUUGGUGCUCUAGGUAUCUUUGCUUCUGCCACAUAGAUUGUACUAAUGGCUCCUGGAAAUGGGGCUGGUAGAUAAAUACAGCUUCCUAGUAUUGAGGAGUGUGAGCUAUUGAGUGGGAGAACAAUAGGAACUGCUAAAAUGUGGGGUAAAAUUAACUGCCAGGUAUUGUGUACAAAAGCCACAAUCCCCAGUAAAUUUGUAAGUAAAAAGUCUUCCUAAGAGUAUCUCCAGAAGAGAAAGAACAACAUUUUGUCAUGGCUUGGGGAGCUUUCAACAUUUACACAGGAAAAAUAAACACCAGCCAAAUAAUGAAGAACAGACCUUAAAUUGCGUAGGUGUCAGAAACUGGGACAAUAUUUAUAACCUGAGAAUUUGAAACCCAAAAAGAAUGAAGCAGAUUGACCUCCUGUGAAGAGAGCAGAUUGAAGAUACAGCUACCUGAACCCAUACACCAGGGCUUCCCUCACACUCUAAGCAUAUUGAGCCUGAAGCCCUAAACACCAGUGCCAUAUU